This 75-nucleotide transfer RNA is filed under the name Paracoccaceae bacterium. RNAcentral describes it as "Rhodobacteraceae bacterium tRNA-Asn". It matches the Rfam family "tRNA". From Rfam's summary of the family: Transfer RNA (tRNA) molecules are approximately 80 nucleotides in length. Their secondary structure includes four short double-helical elements and three loops (D, anti-codon, and T loops). Further hydrogen bonds mediate the characteristic L-shaped molecular structure. tRNAs have two regions of fundamental functional importance: the anti-codon, which is responsible for specific mRNA codon recognition, and the 3' end, to which the tRNAs corresponding amino acid is attached (by aminoacyl-tRNA synthetases). tRNAs cope with the degeneracy of the genetic code in two manners: having more than one tRNA (with a specific anti-codon) for a particular amino acid; and 'wobble' base-pairing, i.e. permitting non-standard base-pairing at the 3rd anti-codon position. Lineage: Bacteria; Pseudomonadati; Pseudomonadota; Alphaproteobacteria; Rhodobacterales; Paracoccaceae. The record is from RNAcentral.
UCCGACGUAGCUCAGUGGUAGAGCAGUUGACUGUUAAUCAAUUGGUCGCAGGUUCGAAUCCCGCCGUCGGAGCCA